AACAAGCACUUAUCUUCUAUUUCUUCUUUUUCUUCCUUAUGUUUCUAAUCUUUUCCUUUGUCGCUUCACUUUCUUCUUCAACCUGAAUCUCUCUCUCUCUCUCUCUAUCUCUCUCUCUCUCUCUCACACACACACACACACACACACACACACACACACACACAUAUCAAACUCCCCCUCUUUAUUCUUUCUCUUUGUCAUCACCACUUCUUCUCUUUUACCCGUCAAUGUUUUCUUCUUUUUUCUGCUCUCUCUUUCGCAUCUUCAAUUUUUUUUCCUGAUUUGUUAUACUGUGUUUUGUGUUUUGCAGAUCCAUUCAAAGUUGUUCAUCUUCAUCAAUAAAAUAAUAAAGAACAAGAAUAGAUCUAUUAAAAGUUGUUCAUCUUCAUCAAGAAAAAAAAUAAAGGACAAGAGUAGGUAAAAUUAUAUAACUCCAAUAGUUAUCCUUAUUUGUAUAGAUUUGUCUUCACCAUUUUAUUUUUUGAUGUUUCCUUUUUCCUUGCUUUGAUUUCAACUAUAACAAAAUUUUCCUCUAAAAAAAUAUGUUGAGAUAAAGGGAAAGAGAAGAAGGAUAUGGGUGGUGGUGAAGUUAGGACUUGAAGUUGAAGAUAUCCUUCAUUUAAAAAUAUAUUACAUUCAAUUUUUAAUUUUAUCCAACUAUUUGUUUUGAUUUUUCAUGAUUUUAUUGUAGUUGAGUAUGAAUAUAUAAUGAGACAAGGGAAAAUCGGUGACGGUGAAUAAGAAAGAGCCACGUAAUGAUUUGGUGGCAGAUUAUAGAAUUCUUGAUUUUGCAAA
Lathyrus oleraceus (garden pea) is the source of this 795-nucleotide long non-coding RNA. RefSeq lists it as uncharacterized. The transcript is spliced from 2 exons. NCBI's taxonomy places the organism in Eukaryota, Viridiplantae, Streptophyta, Magnoliopsida, Fabales, Fabaceae. The record is from RefSeq and is a predicted model, not a curated record.